Molecule: long non-coding RNA, 2885 nt
Filed under: Vitis vinifera (wine grape)
Lineage: Eukaryota; Viridiplantae; Streptophyta; Magnoliopsida; Vitales; Vitaceae
Description: long non-coding RNA (VVIN_LNC004463)
Source: RNAcentral
CUCUUAUCAUACUAGGAUUGUUAUAACGAGGGAAUUGAACAUCAUAAAUAGUCAUUCAAGCAAGGAAAUGAAAGGUUGAUAGCUUCUUCUUUUUCUAUAUUCCCCCACUAGAAUCGUGCUUGAAGGUAUUCAACCACCUUCUUGUCCAACUGGAAGGCCCUUGCAAGGAAAUCAGGAUUGAUGGGUGGAUUUGAUCCAAACACUGCAUUGGCUAUGGUGAUUACACCUGGAUUUUGGCUGUUCAGACCAGCAAUGGCUACUGCAUUAGUGUGCCCAAUGUUGAAUUGGAAGUGAAUGAGACCGAUAGGGAACACAAAAACAUCCCCUUUGUUGAGGACUUUGCUAAUGAAUCGGUUUUGAGGGUUGGAUGUGACAAAGCCAACUAAGAGUGUUCCCUCCAAAACAGUGAGGAUCUCACUGGCACGGGGGUGAAUGUGAGGAGGGUUUUGACCAUAGGGUGCAUAAUUGAUACGAACCAGUGAUAUCCCAAGAGUGUUUUGUCCCGGUAGUACAUCAACAUUUAUAAUAGUGACAUUUGAGCCCACUAGAUUUGCUGUGUUUCCUGGAAUAUUCAGCCCUUGAUACAAGAAAUCGUCAGCCACGGUCAGGUUUGGGUUCUUGCAGAACUUUCCAUUUACAAAUACUGCAUUUAAAAAAACAAAAGGAAAAUAAAAGAUAGGUCAUUAGUAUCAAACCACCAUCAAUGGAAAGAUUAGUGAAAAUAGUGACAAGAUCAUUGGUUACUAAAGAAAUACCAGCAUUCUCGGGUUCAUCAAUGGCAACACAAGUGUCCUGCAGUGGCCUUGGAUCAAAGGCAGAGGCAAGAGAGGAAGCCAAUGCCAUGAGGGCAACAGUUACCAGGAAACUAACACCUUUCUUCAUUGUUAGAGAACUGUCUCCAACAAUCACAAUCUUUAUCUUUAGGUGGGGGUGAGAAAUUUUGCAUGGGAAAGAUGUUAAUUUAUAGACCAGUCAAUGAGUAAAGUCUUUGCAUAAACUCACAAAGUCUUCAAUGGGUAGUUUUUUCUUUUCUUUUUUUUCUUUCUUUUUUCUUUUUUUCACUUUCAACGUCAAGUGGUUACACCAAUACAUGUUGAUUUAUGUAGGAUUAGUUAGUUACUAUACUGAUCUUAACUAGAAAAUUCUCCAUGCGUGUGGAAAGUGAAGUUCAAUUAUUGAUGGAGGCAGGUCCAAUUUCAUAUCAACCUGCAUGAUCCAUACAUUUACAUAAAUAGUAGAUUGAAUAUUACUACCAUUCAAACACUGAAAAAUAUGUAUAGUGUAUUGACAAGAAAAUAGAAGAUUACAGAGUAAGUGCAGGCUUGGACUAGACAAUAACCCACCCAUUCCAAACAUGGUUACUCUAUGAGGCUUGUGUAGGUUCAGUUUAAUGAGUAUCUAUAUAGCUUAAUUAACCAGUCAAAGUUUUCAGAGAUUGGCUGAUGAGAUUGAAUAUGUAGCCAAGUUCUGAGUUUCUAGCUCAUGUGCCUUCCACUGAGUGAAAAAUCCUUGGAUAAGCUCUAGGGUUGCUUCACUUUAGUGAAAAAUAGGGAUAAAUUCAAAGAUUUUCUGCUAUGCUCAUUAGGCUUUCCUCAGUUACAAAAGCUUUGGCCAUGAUUUUUAUGCUUGCAGCCUGCCCUGUCUGAGCAGUUGGCUCAAAAGUUAUUAUUAUUAUUAUUAUUUUGGUUUGAGAGAGAAAGAGAUCUUAAUAAACACCUUUAAACUAAGACUUUUUAAUUAGUUGUUUAUAAGUUGUCUUUAACAAUCACGUCGGUGUUUCCUGGUGAGAAGCAAGAAACCUUGAUUUGAAAAAUACCAAUAAAUUAGAUGAAGUCCUCAGGUUAACCUAUGUUUUAUAGGUGAGGUAAGCAGUUACACUUUCCAAGUCUUCAAUGGAUGUCAUUUUUCAAAUUUAAAGGUUGAACCAUUCUUCGAUCACACUCCUUUCUCAUCCUUUUCUCCUCAACUUAUGCUCUAGACUCUUGAAUGGAUUCUACAUAAUCUUCGGGUUUUAGGCCUUAUUCCAGUGUAAAGCUAAGAAGUAAACCAGUGGGCAGGCCAUCUAUAAUCAGUUUGUGAUUAGUGUCAUGACCUAGAUCUUUAUAAGAAGUUGGGGUCAGAGGUUUGUUUACAGUGGAUGUCAUAAGAUUUAUGGGCUUUCAUUUCUAUUCUUUCCUCACUAUUUCAUAACACUUAUGCUUCUCCCACCAUUCAUAUGGUUUUACUUGGACAUCUUAAUGAGUUUUUUCGAUCUCAGUUGAUGGGAGUUAUAAUGGGAUAAUUUAGAGAAGCAAAUUAAUGGCAUCUUUCCAUUUCUGAAUUGUAUGGGGUUGUUGCCUCAAUGUUCAUGUCUUCAUCACCAAUUCUGUCAGCAGUAUGCUAGAAGUAACAGUAGUUCUGUUUUAUGCAUAUCCUGUAUUUAAUCAAUCAAUCAACUGAGAUUUGUUAUUCAGUUGCUUCUUUUACAAGUGAAAUCUCAAAGAUUUGUUUAAGAUUUUUUAAUGAAAACAUAGGGUAAUCCUGGAUAUGGCAUUGGAUAGUGAGAGAAGAAGAUGGCUAAUAGACAAACUGCUUUAUUUUAAUAUUAGGACCAAAGUCCACAUCAAACAACCUACAACAUAAAGAAAUAAACCCUCUUAUUCUAGGAUGACUAUAAUGAGGUAAUUGAACACCACAAAUAGUCAUUUAAGCAAGGAAAGCAAAGGCUGGUAGCUUCUUAAUUUUCUAUAUUUUCCAACUAGAAUAGUGCUUGAAGGUAUUCAACCACCUUCUUGUCCAACUGGAAGGCCCUGGCAAGGAAAUCAGGAUUGAUGGGUGGAUUUGAUCCAAACACUGCAUCGGCUAUGGUGAUUACACCUGGAUUUUGGCUGUUCAGACCAGCAAUG